GUCUCCGUGGCGCAAUCGGUUAGCGCGUUCGGCUGUUAACCGGAAGGUUGGUGGUUCAAGUCCACCCGGGGACG
Non-coding RNA from Orbicella faveolata, 74 nucleotides. NCBI's taxonomy places the organism in Eukaryota, Metazoa, Cnidaria, Anthozoa, Scleractinia, Merulinidae. The record is from the annotation of a RefSeq genome assembly.